AGUGGCGGACGGGUGAGUAACGCGUGAGAAUCUACCUUCAGGACGGGGACAACAGCUGGAAACGGCUGCUAAUACCCGAUAUGCCGAAAGGUGAAAAGUUUUUUCGCCUGGAGAGAGCUCGCGUCCGAUUAGCUAGUUGGUGAGGUAAAAGCUUACCAAGGCGACGAUCGGUAGCUGGUCUGAGAGGAUGAGCAGCCACACUGGAACUGAGACACGGUCCAGACUCCUACGGGAGGCAGCAGUGGGGAAUUUUCCGCAAUGGGCGAAAGCCUGACGGAGCAACGCCGCGUGGGGGAAGAAGGUUUUUGGAUUGUAAACCCCUUUUCUCAAGGAAGAACAAAAUGACGGUACUUGAGGAAUCAGCCUCGGCUAACUCCGUGCCAGCAGCCGCGGUAAUACGGAGGAGGCAAGCGUUAUCCGGAAUUAUUGGGCGUAAAGCGUUCGUAGGCGGCUGUUCAAGUCUGCUGUCAAAGACCGAGGCUCAACCUCGGGUAGGCAGUGGAAACUGGAUAGCUAGAGGUCGGUAGGGGCAGAGGGAAUUCCCAGUGUAGCGGUGAAAUGCGUAGAUAUUGGGAAGAACACCGGUGGCGAAAGCGCUCUGCUGGGCCGAACCUGACGCUGAGGGACGAAAGCUAGGGGAGCGAAUGGGAUUAGAUACCCC
This 661-nucleotide ribosomal RNA is filed under the name uncultured bacterium. Its description in RNAcentral is "bacterial SSU rRNA". It matches the Rfam family "Bacterial small subunit ribosomal RNA", at positions 94 to 788 of the family's 1533-position model. The record is from RNAcentral.